AUUGAACGCUGGCGGCAGGCCUAACACAUGCAAGUCGAACGAGUGGCGGACGGGUGAGUAAUGUCUGGGAAACUGCCUGAUGGAGGGGGAUAACUACUGGAAACGGUAGCUAAUACCGCAUACCAUCGGAUGUGCCCAGAUGGGAUUAGCUAGUGGGUGGGGUAAAGGCUUACCAAGGCGACGAUCCCUAGCGGGUCUGAGAGGAUGACCAUGCACACGGGAACUGAGCUACGGUCCAGACUCCUCCGGGAGGCAGCAGUGGGGAAUAUUGCACAAUUGGCGCAAGCCUGAUGCAGCCAUGCCGCGUGUAUGAAGAAGGCCUUCGGGUUGUAAAGUACUUUCAGCGGGGAGGCGUUACCCGCAGAAUAAGCACCGGCGAACUCCGUGCCAGCCGCCGCGGUAAUAC
This 406-nucleotide ribosomal RNA is filed under the name uncultured bacterium. Its description in RNAcentral is "partial 16S ribosomal RNA". It matches the Rfam family "Bacterial small subunit ribosomal RNA", at positions 30 to 526 of the family's 1533-position model. The record is from RNAcentral.